Molecule: transfer RNA, 75 nt
Filed under: bacterium
Lineage: Bacteria
Description: tRNA-Val
Rfam family: tRNA
About the family: Transfer RNA (tRNA) molecules are approximately 80 nucleotides in length.
Source: RNAcentral
GGGCAGUUAGCUCAGCGGUAGAGCGCCUCGUUCACAUCGAGGAGGUCACUGGUUCAAAUCCAGUACUGCCCACCA